RNAcentral lists this transfer RNA (88 nucleotides) under Mycoplasmopsis pullorum. Its description in RNAcentral is "Mycoplasma pullorum tRNA". It matches the Rfam family "tRNA". From Rfam's summary of the family: Transfer RNA (tRNA) molecules are approximately 80 nucleotides in length. Their secondary structure includes four short double-helical elements and three loops (D, anti-codon, and T loops). Further hydrogen bonds mediate the characteristic L-shaped molecular structure. tRNAs have two regions of fundamental functional importance: the anti-codon, which is responsible for specific mRNA codon recognition, and the 3' end, to which the tRNAs corresponding amino acid is attached (by aminoacyl-tRNA synthetases). tRNAs cope with the degeneracy of the genetic code in two manners: having more than one tRNA (with a specific anti-codon) for a particular amino acid; and 'wobble' base-pairing, i.e. permitting non-standard base-pairing at the 3rd anti-codon position. The record is from Rfam by way of RNAcentral. Lineage: Bacteria; Bacillati; Mycoplasmatota; Mycoplasmoidales; Metamycoplasmataceae.
GGGACAGUACUCAAGAGGCCGAAGAGGUCGCACUGCUAACGCGAUAGGGGAGGAAACUCCCGCGGAGGUUCGAAUCCUCUCUGUCCCG